GUGGGGAAUAUUGGACAAUGGGCGAAAGCCUGAUCCAGCAAUGCCGCGUGAGUGAUGAAGGCCCUAGGGUUGUAAAGCUCUUUUACCCGGGAUGAUAAUGACAGUACCGGGAGAAUAAGCUCCGGCUAACUCCGUGCCAGCAGCCGCGGUAAUACGGAGGGAGCUAGCGUUGUUCGGAAUUACUGGGCGUAAAGCGCGCGUAGGCGGUCCAUCAAGUCAGAGGUGAAAGCCCGGGGCUCAACCCCGGAACUGCCUUUGAAACUGGCGGACUAGAAUCUUGGAGAGGUCAGUGGAAUUCCGAGUGUAGAGGUGAAAUUCGUAGAUAUUCGGAAGAACACCAGUGGCGAAGGCGACUGACUGGACAAGUAUUGACGCUGAGGUGCGAAAGCGUGGGGAGCAAACAGGAUUAGAAACCCCUGUAGUCC
Molecule: ribosomal RNA, 425 nt
Filed under: uncultured bacterium
Lineage: Bacteria
Description: bacterial SSU rRNA
Rfam family: Bacterial small subunit ribosomal RNA
Source: RNAcentral